CUACUACUUUCAAGACUAGCAAAUUUCUACAAGCUUUUAUACUGCACAAUAGGUCCACACCAUUUCGCACAUCAGAACACCUAAUGUCUACAGCAAUUAUGUGUACAUCAUUAAUAACGUACGUAACUGUGUAUAACUAAAACGUCUACAUCAUCAAUUGUGUAUGCAAACAUUACUUCGCCACAGUAUCAACUGUGUACGCCCUGUUACCACGUACACUACGCAUCCGUACAACAUACUUCCGAUAUGUGGCAGAGGUAUAGAGCACAUUGAGUGUAUGUACAACUAAGACUUGCCAUACCUUGCAAAUAUGUAAAACAGUUUUCCGCGAACUAAUAGCGUACACUUAAAUUGUAUGUACAAACUAACCCUUGCCCUAUUGUCCACCACCCUUUCAAGCUACUGUGGUGUACACUCAACAUUGUACAUCAUUUGCGCUGCCGCAUACACUCACCAGCGUAAAUUAUACGCCCGCGUUGUACAUCAUUACCUUUACUUUCCUUGUACCCCGUCCUCUAUUGUGCGCCCGUCGUGUACAUCCUCAACUCAUGUGUCCGAAACAUCAUGCGUCGUUCAUGGUUGACUUUGCCUUGUACACCGUCCUCUCUCGCAAAGCAGUGUACAUCAUCAAUUACCAUAGCGACUACAUAAAAACAUAUAAACAAGAGUAACUGUUGCACUCUUUAAUUGGUAUGCAUUAUUUAAUCGGCCGCGUACGUCGUACAC
Molecule: long non-coding RNA, 726 nt
Filed under: Brassica napus (rape)
Lineage: Eukaryota; Viridiplantae; Streptophyta; Magnoliopsida; Brassicales; Brassicaceae
Description: long non-coding RNA (BNAP_LNC006737)
Source: RNAcentral